RNAcentral lists this ribosomal RNA (497 nucleotides) under uncultured bacterium. Its description in RNAcentral is "partial 16S ribosomal RNA". It matches the Rfam family "Bacterial small subunit ribosomal RNA", at positions 28 to 507 of the family's 1533-position model. The record is from RNAcentral.
GAUGAACGCUGGCGGCGUGCCUAAUACAUGCAAGUCGAGCGAACGGACGAGCAGCUUGCUUCUCUGAUGUUAGCGGCGGACGGGUGAGUAACAUGUGGAUAACCUACCUAUAAGACUGGGAUAACUUCGGGAAACCGGUGCUAAUACCGGAUGCUAUUUUGUACCGCAUGGUUCAACAGUGAAACACGGUCUUGCUGUCACUUAUAGAUUGAUCCGCGCUGCAUUAGCUAGUUGGUAAGGUAACGGCUUACCAAGGCAACGAUGCAUAGCCGACCUGAGAGGGUGAUCGGCCACACUGGAACUGAGACACGGUCCAGACUCCUACGGGAGGCAGCAGUAGGGAAUCUUCCGCAAUGGGCGAAAGCCUGACGGAGCAACGCCGCGUGAGUGAUGAAGGUCUUCGGAUCGUAAAACGCUGUUAGUAGGGAAGAACAUAUGUGUAAGUAACUGUGCACAUCUUGACGGUACCUAAUCAGAAAGCCACGGCUAACUACGUG